GUUGUGAAGAAGGAGUUAGUGCUGUGAGGAGCUGCCCAUGGAAAAUCACUGAGAUGGCUAAACCGAGCAGAUGGGGGAGUGAUUUCAGACAGUGACCUCAUUUCUGCAAAUACUACUUCUCAAAAAGAGACAGCAAUCAACCUGUGUCUUACAAGAAGAAAAAGGAAGAACUUGUGGGUGGAUGGUAAUUCUGACCAAGGCAUUCAAGAGGUGUUUAUGCACUGAGAGCCUGUGCCCCACUACCAGCCAGGGCAGGGGGAAGGCACAACCAAGCUAAAGCUGAGAAUUCAAUGUACUUUCUUAUUUUAUUUUCUUGAAAAAGACCCCAAACAGCUGACAGGACUGGUGAUUUUUGGUUUUUUCCUAUGUCCUGUCCUUCAAACACUGUAGACAGCCUGUGAGCCAGUGUCCCAGAUCAGAGGAGAGCGAUGCCAAGCCCUGCUGUGGGAGACCAGCGCUGCCCAGGGCUGCAGAGCCCUGAACCUGCCAGUCAUCCUCAGCACAAGCCAAGGCUGAACUUGUAAUGGAGGUGAAGUUCAUUGCCCCCAUGUUAUUUCCUUUGAGAGACGUUAAUGUAUCUGCCCUUCAGCACAGAAAAUGAGAGAACAAAUCAGGUAACUUCAGCUUCAACAACAAAGGAAACAGAAGGUGAUAUGAGAUGCCGCAUACACCACAGAACAUGUGUAAUAUAUUGAGGUUUGUGGCCAGUAAGGAAUUUUUUUCUGUUUUUUUGCAAGCAGUGAACUUCUAUUCAAGGUGCACUGGGAAAAUUGAGGCAUUAAAAGCACAGUAGCUACAGCUGUAUAUGAAGUUCUGCAAGUAACUUCAAGAAUGUUCGUUAGACAAACAGAUUUUCACGUUACUUGAUAAUUGUUUAAAUCUCUUUAAAUAGUUGAAAAGUAUUUUU
Molecule: non-coding RNA, 907 nt
Organism: Zonotrichia albicollis (white-throated sparrow)
Lineage: Eukaryota; Metazoa; Chordata; Aves; Passeriformes; Passerellidae
Source: RefSeq, a predicted model, not a curated record